This 1431-nucleotide ribosomal RNA is filed under the name metagenome. Its description in RNAcentral is "bacterial SSU rRNA". It matches the Rfam family "Archaeal small subunit ribosomal RNA". The record is from RNAcentral.
UCCCGUUGAUCCUGCGGGAGGUUGCUGCUAUUAGAGUUCGAUUAAGCCAUGCAAGUCAGGUAACCUUGUGUUGCCGGCAUACUGCUCAGUAACACGUCGUUAAUCUAACCUUAGAUCUAGGAUAACCUUGGGAAACUGAGACUAAGACUGGAUAGGGGAUUAUUUCUGGAAAGAAUUUUCCUUUAAAGGUAACGUCUAAGGAUGAGACGGCGGCGGAUUAGGUUGUUGGUGGUGUAAUGGACCACCAAGCCAACGAUCCGUAGGGGCCUUGAAAGAGGUAGCCUCGAGAAGGGCACUGAGAUACUGGCCCUAGCCCCACGGGGUGCAGCAGGCGCGAAACCUUUACACUGCACGAAAGUGUGAUAAGGGAACUCUAAGUGCUUACCUUAUGGUAGGCUUUUGCCAAAAUUAAAGCCUUUGGCGAAUAAGUGGUGGGAAAGACGGGUGCCAGCCGCCGCGGUAACACCUGCGCCACGAGUGGGAACCAUUUUUAUUGGGCCUAAAGCGUCCGCAGCCGAUCCAGCAAAUCUUCUGUGAAACUGUUAUGCUUAACAUAACAACGUGCAGGAGACACUACUUGGAAUUGGAACUGGAAGGAGUCAGAAGUAUUUCUGGGGGAGCGGUAAAAUGUUAUAAUCUCAGAAGGACUACCUGUGGCGAAAGCGUCUGACUAGUACAGAUUCGACGGUGAGGGACGAAAGCCAGGGGAGCAAUCCGGAUUAGAUACCCGAGUAGUCCUGGCCAUAAACGCUGCGAGCUAGGUGUUACAUAUUCUCCGUGAAUGUGUAGUGUCGUAAUGAAGAUGUUAAGCUCGCCGCCUGGGAAGUAUAGUCGCAAGACCGAAACUUAAAGGAAUUGGCGGGGGAGCACUACAAGGGGUGCGGCGUGCGGUUUAAUCUAAUUCAACGCAGAGAACCUCACCAGAAGCGACGGCAGGAUGAAAGUCAGUCUAAAGGGCUUACUUGACGAGCCGAGAGGUAGCGCAUGGCCGCCGUCAGCUCAUGCUGUAAAGUGUCCUGUUAAGUCAGGCAACGAGCGAGACCUGUACCUACAAUUGCUAACAACUAAUUUUAGGAUUGAGCACAUUGUAGGGACUGCCCUCGAAAGGGGGAAGAAGGUGCAGGCUACGGUAGGUCUGUAUGCUCCGAAUCUUCUGGGCUACACGCGCGCAACAAUGGUAAGGACAAUGGGAUGCAACUCCGAAAGGAGGAGCUAAUCCUCGAAACCUUAUCCUAGUUCAGAUCGAGGUUUGCAACUCAACCUCGUGACGCUGGAAUCCCUAGUAAUCAGACGUCAUCAUCGUCUGGUGAAUAUGUCCCUGCUCCUUGCACACACCGCCCGUCAAACCACCUGAGUAGGGUUUAGAUGAGGGCUUAUUUUCAAUAAGUUCGAAUCUGAGCUUUGCGAGGAGGGUUAAGUCGUCACAAGGUA